AGAGUUUGAUCCUGGCUCAGGAUGAACGCUAGCUACAGGCUUAACACAUGCAAGUCGAGGGGAAACGGCAUUGAGUGCUUGCACUCUUUGGACGUCGACCGGCGCACGGGUGAGUAACGCGUAUCCAACCUUCCCAUUACUGUGGGAUAACCUGCCGAAAGGCAGACUAAUACCGCAUAGUCUUCGAUGACGGCAUCAGAUUUGAAGUAAAGAUUUAUCGGUAAUGGAUGGGGAUGCGUCUGAUUAGCUUGUUGGCGGGGUAACGGCCCACCAAGGCAACGAUCAGUAGCGGGUCUGAGAGGAUGAUCCGCCACACUGGGACUGAGACACGGCCCAGACUCCUACGGGAGGCAGCAGUGGGGAAUUUUGGACAAUGGGCGCAAGCCUGAUCCAGCCAUGCCGCGUGUCUGAAGAAGGCCUUCGGGUUGUAAAGGACUUUUGUCAGGGAAGAAAAGGCUGUUGCUAAUAUCGACAGCUGAUGACGGUACCUGAAGAAUAAGCACCGGCUAACUACGUGCCAGCAGCCGCGGUAAUACGUAGGGUGCGAGCGUUAAUCGGAAUUACUGGGCGUAAAGCGAGCGCAGACGGUUACUUAAGCAGGAUGUGAAAUCCCCGGGCUCAACCUGGGAACUGCGUUCUGAACUGGGUGACUAGAGUGUGUCAGAGGGAGGUAGAAUUCCACGUGUAGCAGUGAAAUGCGUAGAGAUGUGGAGGAAUACCGAUGGCGAAGGCAGCCUCCUGGGAUAACACUGACGUUCAUGCUCGAAAGCGUGGGUAGCAAACAAGAUUAGAUACCCUGGUAGUCCACGCCCUAAACGAUGUCAAUAAGCUGUUGGGCAACUUGAUUGCUUAGUAGCGUAGCUAACGCGUGAAAUUGACCGCCUGGGGAGUACGGUCGCAAGAUUAAAACUCAAAGGAAUUGACGGGGACCCGCACAAGCGGUGGAUGAUGUGGAUUAAUUCGAUGCAACGCGAAGAACCUUACCUGGUCUUGACAUGUACGGAAUCCUCCAGAGACGGAGGAGUGCCUUCGGGAGCCGUAACACAGGUGCUGCAUGGCUGUCGUCAGCUCGUGUCGUGAGAUGUUGGGUUAAGUCCCGCAACGAGCGCAACCCUUGUCAUUAGUUGCCAUCAUUAAGUUGGGCACUCUAAUGAGACUGCCGGUGACAAGCCGGAGGAAGGUGGGGAUGACGUCAAGUCCUCAUGGCCCUUAUGACCAGGGCCUCACACGUCAUACAAUGGUCGGUACAGAGGGUAGCCAAGCCGCGAGGUGGAGCCAAUCUCACAAAACCGAUCGUAGUCCGGAUUGCACUCUGCAACUCGAGUGCAUGAAGUCGGAAUCGCUAGUAAUCGCAGGUCAGCAUACUGCGGUGAAUACGUUCCCGGGUCUUGCACACACCGCCCGUCAA
Molecule: ribosomal RNA, 1408 nt
Filed under: uncultured bacterium
Lineage: Bacteria
Description: partial 16S ribosomal RNA
Rfam family: Bacterial small subunit ribosomal RNA
Source: RNAcentral